This 263-nucleotide long non-coding RNA is filed under the name Elaeis guineensis (African oil palm). RNAcentral's name for it is "long non-coding RNA (EGUI_LNC027200)". Lineage: Eukaryota; Viridiplantae; Streptophyta; Magnoliopsida; Arecales; Arecaceae. The record is from RNAcentral.
UUGAUGGGAGAGCCUUCGGGGUCACAGCUUUGGCUCAAAAGCUUCCUUGACAGGAAGCAACUUUCCAGCAGCACUAGUGAAAACUCAAGCAACCAAUCCUUUUUUUGCAUUGAACUGCCUUGGUAAAAGGUAGCCAAACACUUUGUUGGUGGAUUGCCUCCUCGAUGGGCAUGGAUCUAAACCAAGCUCCCUUUAAUCACUGUCCCUUCAAUAUUAUAAACAGUAAAAAUAAAAUUAUAUAGGUAUAUAAUCAGACUAGAAUC